RNAcentral lists this transfer RNA (90 nucleotides) under Coniochaeta pulveracea. It matches the Rfam family "tRNA". From Rfam's summary of the family: Transfer RNA (tRNA) molecules are approximately 80 nucleotides in length. Their secondary structure includes four short double-helical elements and three loops (D, anti-codon, and T loops). Lineage: Eukaryota; Fungi; Ascomycota; Sordariomycetes; Coniochaetales; Coniochaetaceae. The record is from Rfam by way of RNAcentral.
GCGGGUUUAGCUCAGUUGGGAGAGCGUCAGACUGAAGUAAAACUUCAUCAGUUAAUCUGAAGGUCGUGUGUUCGAUCCACACAAACCGCA